CCUACGGGGGGCAGCAGUGGGGAAUUUUGGACAAUGGGCGCAAGCCUGAUCCAGCAAUGCCGCGUGCAGGAAGAAGGCCUUCGGGUUGUAAACUGCUUUUGUCAGGGAAGAAAUCUUCUGGGCUAAUACCCCGGGAGGAUGACGGUACCUGAAGAAUAAGCACCGGCUAACUACGUGCCAGCAGCCGCGGUAAUACGUAGGGUGCGAGCGUUAAUCGGAAUUACUGGGCGUAAAGCGUGCGCAGGCGGCUUUGCAAGACAGAUGUGAAAUCCCCGGGCUCAACCUGGGAACUGCAUUUGUGACUGCAAGGCUAGAGUACGGCAGAGGGGGAUGGAAUUCCGCGUGUAGCAGUGAAAUGCGUAGAUAUGCGGAGGAACACCAAUGGCGAAGGCAAUCCCCUGGGCCUGUACUGACGCUCAUGCACGAAAGCGUGGGGAGCAAACAGGAUUAGAUACCCUUGUAGUC
RNAcentral lists this ribosomal RNA (465 nucleotides) under uncultured bacterium. RNAcentral describes it as "bacterial SSU rRNA". It matches the Rfam family "Bacterial small subunit ribosomal RNA", at positions 338 to 795 of the family's 1533-position model. The record is from RNAcentral.